RNAcentral lists this long non-coding RNA (492 nucleotides) under Helianthus annuus (common sunflower). Its description in RNAcentral is "sRNA HanXRQr2_Chr09g0385601". The record is from RNAcentral. Lineage: Eukaryota; Viridiplantae; Streptophyta; Magnoliopsida; Asterales; Asteraceae.
GAUUUGUUGUUAUUAAUCUUGGCCUGCAAAGAUGCUUCUGAUAGAAGUCCACCAAUGCUUAAAACGGUUAAAUUAUCAUCCCAUGUAACCGGAGCUGGAAUUGCUGCUUGAUGAUUAAGUUUUCCCUGUAACGAUGCCUCAGAAAGCAAGCCUCCAAUGCUUAUGUCAGUGGAUGGCUUUGACCAAUCUUGACUUUGACCAGUCUUGACUUCAGUAUCAUUGUUUCCCUCUAACGUAAAAAGUCCCCCCAUUGUCAAAUCGGUCAUGUUAUCAUCCAUUAACCGUGACGAUUCCUGGCUUUGACCAAUCUUGACUUCAAGGCGCAGUCACAGCUACUUGAGCUGUUGCAUCUACACAGUUCCUAUCUUCUGAGAUCGAUUUGUGUAUGCCAUCAGAUUUUAUGCAAUUAUGCACAUCAGUUGUUGCAGAAACUCUUUCAGGCUGGUGAUCAGAGAACCACCCGCAACAUAUCACACGGUUCAAAUGAGCUAA